AGUGUUUCACGUACAGCGUACGAUCAUCAGGCGAUCAGGCGAUAAUCGAAUCGCCUGAUCGCCUGAUGAUCGUACGCUGUACGUGAAACACU
Molecule: non-coding RNA, 92 nt
Organism: Paramuricea clavata
Lineage: Eukaryota; Metazoa; Cnidaria; Anthozoa; Malacalcyonacea; Plexauridae
Source: the annotation of a GenBank genome assembly